UUAAGCGACUAAGCGUACACGGUGGAUGCCCUGGCAGUCAGAGGCGAUGAAGGACGUGCUAAUCUGCGAUAAGCGUCGGUAAGGUGAUAUGAACCGUUAUAACCGGCGAUUUCCGAAUGGGGAAACCCAGUGUGAUUCGUCACACUAUCAUUAACUGAAUCCAUAGGUUAAUGAGGCGAACCGGGGGAACUGAAACAUCUAAGUACCCCGAGGAAAAGAAAUCAACCGAGAUUCCCCAAGUAGCGGCGAGCGAACGGGGAGCAGCCCAGAGCCUGAAUCAGUGUGUGUGUUAGUGGAAGCGUCUGGAAAGGCGCGCGAUACAGGGUGACAGCCCCGUACACAAAAAUGCACAUGCUGUGAGCUCGAUGAGUAGGGCGGGACACGUGGUAUCCUGUCUGAAUAUGGGGGGACCAUCCUCCAAGGCUAAAUACUCCUGACUGACCGAUAGUGAACCAGUACCGUGAGGGAAAGGCGAAAAGAACCCCGGCGAGGGGAGUGAAAAAGAACCUGAAACCGUGUACGUACAAGCAGUGGGAGCACGCUUAGGCGUGUGACUGCGUACCUUUUGUAUAAUGGGUCAGCGACUUAUAUUCUGUAGCAAGGUUAACCGAAUAGGGGAGCCGAAGGGAAACCGAGUCUUAACUGGGCGUUAAGUUGCAGGGUAUAGACCCGAAACCCGGUGAUCUAGCCAUGGGCAGGUUGAAGGUUGGGUAACACUAACUGGAGGACCGAACCGACUAAUGUUGAAAAAUUAGCGGAUGACUUGUGGCUGGGGGUGAAAGGCCAAUCAAACCGGGAGAUAGCUGGUUCUCCCCGAAAGCUAUUUAGGUAGCGCCUCGUGAAUUCAUCUCCGGGGGUAGAGCACUGUUUCGGCAAGGGGGUCAUCCCGACUUACCAACCCGAUGCAAACUGCGAAUACCGGAGAAUGUUAUCACGGGAGACACACGGCGGGUGCUAACGUCCGUCGUGAAGAGGGAAACAACCCAGACCGCCAGCUAAGGUCCCAAAGUCAUGGUUAAGUGGGAAACGAUGUGGGAAGGCCCAGACAGCCAGGAUGUUGGCUUAGAAGCAGCCAUCAUUUAAAGAAAGCGUAAUAGCUCACUGGUCGAGUCGGCCUGCGCGGAAGAUGUAACGGGGCUAAACCAUGCACCGAAGCUGCGGCAGCGACACUAUGUGUUGUUGGGUAGGGGAGCGUUCUGUAAGCCUGUGAAGGUGUACUGUGAGGUAUGCUGGAGGUAUCAGAAGUGCGAAUGCUGACAUAAGUAACGAUAAAGCGGGUGAAAAGCCCGCUCGCCGGAAGACCAAGGGUUCCUGUCCAACGUUAAUCGGGGCAGGGUGAGUCGACCCCUAAGGCGAGGCCGAAAGGCGUAGUCGAUGGGAAACAGGUUAAUAUUCCUGUACUUGGUGUUACUGCGAAGGGGGGACGGAGAAGGCUAUGUUGGCCGGGCGACGGUUGUCCCGGUUUAAGCGUGUAGGCUGGUUUUCCAGGCAAAUCCGGAAAAUCAAGGCUGAGGCGUGAUGACGAGGCACUACGGUGCUGAAGCAACAAAUGCCCUGCUUCCAGGAAAAGCCUCUAAGCAUCAGGUAACAUCAAAUCGUACCCCAAACCGACACAGGUGGUCAGGUAGAGAAUACCAAGGCGCUUGAGAGAACUCGGGUGAAGGAACUAGGCAAAAUGGUGCCGUAACUUCGGGAGAAGGCACGCUGAUAUGUAGGUGAAGUCCCUCGCGGAUGGAGCUGAAAUCAGUCGAAGAUACCAGCUGGCUGCAACUGUUUAUUAAAAACACAGCACUGUGCAAACACGAAAGUGGACGUAUACGGUGUGACGCCUGCCCGGUGCCGGAAGGUUAAUUGAUGGGGUUAGCGCAAGCGAAGCUCUUGAUCGAAGCCCCGGUAAACGGCGGCCGUAACUAUAACGGUCCUAAGGUAGCGAAAUUCCUUGUCGGGUAAGUUCCGACCUGCACGAAUGGCGUAAUGAUGGCCAGGCUGUCUCCACCCGAGACUCAGUGAAAUUGAACUCGCUGUGAAGAUGCAGUGUACCCGCGGCAAGACGGAAAGACCCCGUGAACCUUUACUAUAGCUUGACACUGAACAUUGAGCCUUGAUGUGUAGGAUAGGUGGGAGGCUUUGAAGUGUGGACGCCAGUCUGCAUGGAGCCGACCUUGAAAUACCACCCUUUAAUGUUUGAUGUUCUAACGUUGACCCGUAAUCCGGGUUGCGGACAGUGUCUGGUGGGUAGUUUGACUGGGGCGGUCUCCUCCUAAAGAGUAACGGAGGAGCACGAAGGUUGGCUAAUCCUGGUCGGACAUCAGGAGGUUAGUGCAAUGGCAUAAGCCAGCUUGACUGCGAGCGUGACGGCGCGAGCAGGUGCGAAAGCAGGUCAUAGUGAUCCGGUGGUUCUGAAUGGAAGGGCCAUCGCUCAACGGAUAAAAGGUACUCCGGGGAUAACAGGCUGAUACCGCCCAAGAGUUCAUAUCGACGGCGGUGUUUGGCACCUCGAUGUCGGCUCAUCACAUCCUGGGGCUGAAGUAGGUCCCAAGGGUAUGGCUGUUCGCCAUUUAAAGUGGUACGCGAGCUGGGUUUAGAACGUCGUGAGACAGUUCGGUCCCUAUCUGCCGUGGGCGCUGGAGAAUUGAGGGGGGCUGCUCCUAGUACGAGAGGACCGGAGUGGACGCAUCACUGGUGUUCGGGUUGUCAUGCCAAUGGCACUGCCCGGUAGCUAAAUGCGGAAGAGAUAAGUGCUGAAAGCAUCUAAGCACGAAACUUGCCCCGAGAUGAGUUCUCCCUGACUCCUUGAGAGUCCUGAAGGAACGUUGAAGACGACGACGUUGAUAGGCCGGGUGUGUAAGCGCAGCGAUGCGUUGAGCUAACCGGUACUAAUGAACCGUGAGGCUUAACCUU
RNAcentral lists this ribosomal RNA (2901 nucleotides) under Escherichia coli. Its description in RNAcentral is "bacterial LSU rRNA". It matches the Rfam family "Bacterial large subunit ribosomal RNA". Lineage: Bacteria; Pseudomonadati; Pseudomonadota; Gammaproteobacteria; Enterobacterales; Enterobacteriaceae. The record is from RNAcentral.